RNAcentral lists this ribosomal RNA (1484 nucleotides) under freshwater metagenome. RNAcentral's name for it is "bacterial LSU rRNA". It matches the Rfam family "Bacterial large subunit ribosomal RNA", at positions 533 to 2027 of the family's 2925-position model. The record is from RNAcentral.
GGGGAGUGAAAUAGAUCCUGAAACCGCAUGCAUACAAAAAGUCGGAGCCUGGAAACGGGUGACGGCGUACCUUUUGUAUAAUGGGUCAGCGACUUACAUUCAGUGGCGAGCUUAACCGAAUAGGGUAAGCGAAGAGAAAUCGAGUCCGAAUAGGGCGUCUAGUCGCUGGGUGUAGACCCGAAACCAAGUGAUCUAUCCAUGGCCAGGAUGAAGGUGCCGUAACAGGUACUGGAGGACCGAACCGAUAAGCGUUGAAAAGCUUCCGGAUGAGCUGUGGGUAGGGGUGAAAGGCCAAUCAAACUGAGAAAUAGCUCGUACUCCCCGAAAUGUUUUUAGGAACAGCGUCGUGGAAUGUAUUGAUGAGGUAGAGCUACCGAUAGGACUAGGGGGAGUCACAUCCUACCAAAUCCUGACGAACUCCGAAUGCAUUGAUACAGUAACGGCAGUGAGGGCUUGGGUGCUAAGGUCCGAGUCCGAGAGGGAAAGAACCCAGACCUACCGCUAAGGUCCCAAAAUCCAUACUAAGUUGAACAAAGGUGGUCCAGCUGCUUAGACAGCCAGGAGGUUAGCUUGGAAGCAGCUAUUCCUUUAAAGAGUGCGUAACAGCUCACUGGUCGAGCGGCAGGGCGUCGAUAAUAAACGGGCAUCAAGUGUGGUACCGAAGCGUAGGAUCAGACAUUAGUCUGGUGGUAGGGGAGCAUUCCAGUAACAGAGAAGGUGCAUGGUAAUGUGUGCUGGAGUUGUUGGAAAAGCAAAUGUAGGCAUAAGUAACGAUAAUGCGGGCGAGAAACCCGCACACCGAUAGACCAAGGUUUCCUGAUCAACGCUAAUCGGAUCAGGGUCAGUCGGGACCUAAGGAUAACCCAUGUGGGGAUUCCGAUGGCAAAUGGGUUGAUAUUCCCAUACUGUAUAUACAGGUGAUGGAGUGACGGAGUGAUGAAAGAUCCGCGCAGUGACGGAAUACUGCGUUAAAGCGUGUAGGUAUUGGAGAUAUGUAAAUGCGUGUCUUUAGCCGAACGUGACAGUACCGUGCGUCUACGGACAACCGGAUAGUGAUCCUAAGGGCUUCCAAGAAAAACUUCUAGCGUUAAGCGUAUAUACACCCGUACCGCAAACCGACACAGGUGGUCAAGGAGAGAAUCCUGAGGUGCUCGAGUGAAUCAUGGCUAAGGAACUCGGCAAAAUGGCCCUGUAACUUCGGGAGAAGGGGCGCCUACCCAAGCGAUUGGGAGGCCGCAGUGAAAAGGCCCAGGCGACUGUUUAGCAAAAACACAUGGCUUUGCGAACUCGAAAGAGUAUGUAUAAGGCCUGACACCUGCCCGGUGCCGGAAGGUUAAGAGGGGAUGUUACCGCAAGGGAAGCAUUGAAUUGAAGCCCCGGUAAACGGCGGCCGUAACUAUAACGGUCCUAAGGUAGCGAAAUUCCUUGUCGGGUAAGUUCCGACCUGCACGAAUGGUGUAACGAUCUGGGCGCUGUCUCAGCCA